This 253-nucleotide ribosomal RNA is filed under the name uncultured bacterium. Its description in RNAcentral is "partial 16S ribosomal RNA". It matches the Rfam family "Bacterial small subunit ribosomal RNA", at positions 524 to 776 of the family's 1533-position model. The record is from RNAcentral.
UACAGAGGUCUCGAGCGUUGUUCGGAUUCAUUGGGCGUAAAGGGUGCGUAGGUGGCGCUGUAAGUCGGGUGUGAAAUCCUGAGGCUUAACCUCGGAACUGCAUUCGAUACUGCGGCGCUUGAGGACUGGAGAGGAGACUGGAAUUCAUGGUGUAGCAGUGAAAUGCGUAGAGAUCAUGAGGAAGACCAGUGGCGAAGGCGGGUCUCUGGACAGUUCCUGACACUGAGGCACGAAGGCCAGGGGAGCAAACAGG